GAUGAAGAACGCAGCGAAAUGCGAUAAGUAAUGCGAAUUGCAGAAUCCGUGAAUCAUCGAAUCUUUGAACGCACAUUGCGCCCCCUGGUAUUCCGGGGGGCAUGCCUGUUCGAGCGUCAUUUCACCACUCAAGCCUCGCUUGGUAUUGGGCAACGCGGUCCGCCGCGUGCCUCAAAUCGACCGGCUGGGUCUUCUGUCCCCUAAGCGUUGUGGAAACUAUUCGCUAAAGGGUGUUCGGGAGGCUACGCCGUAAAACAACCCCAUUUCUAAGGUUGACCUCGGAUCAGGUAGGGAUACCCGCUGAACUUAAGCAUAUCAGUAAGCGGAGGA
This 330-nucleotide unclassified non-coding RNA is filed under the name soil metagenome. RNAcentral describes it as "partial contains 5.8S ribosomal RNA, internal transcribed spacer 2, and large subunit ribosomal RNA". The stretch from base 1 to 119 matches the Rfam family "5.8S ribosomal RNA", at positions 35 to 154 of the family's 154-position model. The record is from RNAcentral.